CAGCCGCCGCGGUAAUACGUAGGGUGCGAGCGUUAAUCGGAAUUACUGGGCGUAAAGCGUGCGCAGGCGGUUGUGUAAGACAGGUGUGAAAUCCCCGGGCUUAACCUGGGAACUGCGCUUGUGACUGCACAGCUAGAGUAUGGCAGAGGGGGGUGGAAUUCCACGUGUAGCAGUGAAAUGCGUAGAGAUGUGGAGGAACACCGAUGGCGAAGGCAGCCCCCUGGGCCAAUACUGACGCACAUGCACGAAAGCGUGGGGAGCAAACAGGAUUAGAUACCCGAGUAGUCCCUGUCUCUUAUAA
This 301-nucleotide ribosomal RNA is filed under the name uncultured bacterium. RNAcentral describes it as "partial 16S ribosomal RNA". It matches the Rfam family "Bacterial small subunit ribosomal RNA", at positions 509 to 809 of the family's 1533-position model. The record is from RNAcentral.